This 2326-nucleotide unclassified non-coding RNA is filed under the name Homo sapiens (human). RNAcentral's name for it is "CDGSH iron sulfur domain 3 (ENSG00000274768.2)". Lineage: Eukaryota; Metazoa; Chordata; Mammalia; Primates; Hominidae. The record is from RNAcentral.
AUGCGCGGCGCGGGGGCGAUCCUGCGGCCGGCGGCGCGUGGUGCCCGGGUGAGCACCCCCGCCCUGCACCAGCCCCCGUCCCGAACCCCAGCCGGGCCCCUGCCAGCCCCCACUCCAGCCCCGGCCCGGCCGAGCAUCCCGGAGCUCCCGGCCCGUCCCGCCGGUGUCUGGCUUGCCUCAGCUCACAGGCUUUUCCCGAGCGCCAGUCCCUGCCAGGACCUCCGCAGCCAGCACCUUCUCUUGCGACCUUUUUCUUACCCUCUCAUUCCUCCCUCGCCCCUUCAGCCCUGUCACCUCCUCCUUCCUAGAUGGCCUCCCGUGUCCUUCCCUUUCCACUGAUUUUAUUUUUCCGUUUCCAAACCACCGUCUUGUGAUGCCUGCCAUGCUUGCGUACCUUGCAGGACCUGAACCCGCGGCGGGACAUCUCCUCCUGGCUGGCCCAGUGGUUCCCUAGAACCCCAGCCAGGUCCGUGGUGGCCCUGAAGACCCCCAUCAAGGUGGAGCUGGUGGCAGGGAAAACCUACAGGUGGUGUGUGUGUGGCCGCAGCAAGAAGCAGCCCUUCUGUGACGGCUCCCACUUCUUCCAACGCACUGGCCUAUCUCCACUCAAGUUCAAGGCCCAAGAGACCCGCAUGGUGGCACUCUGUACCUGCAAGGCCACUCAGAGGCCCCCGUACUGCGAUGGCACCCACAGGAGUGAGCGCGUGCAGAAGGCAGAAGUGGGCUCCCCACUCUGAGGGGGCUGCUGCUGUCCAGCCACAGGUGGCCUUGGCUCCAGGCCUCUGACAGGCACCCCCUUCUGUGGGAAAGGAAACAGGUGCUGAGCCCAAGAGACUCUGGUACCCACUGCUGGCUCAUGAAGGAAGAAUUAUUCCUUAUAACCUAAAAGUCUCCAGUCUGGGGCAGGCGGGAGUGGGCCCUGGUUCAAUGUUUGCUGAUGGGGAAGAUGGCAAAAACAAGCCUGCCCAACCAGACUGGUAGUCCUGCAGUCACUGCUAUGAGGCCCACGUGCUGCCUCCUGCUCCAGAUUUUAACCUCUCUGUGGGCUGGGGGCACCUGACCAGCCACAGGAGAGGGCAGUUCAGAUUCAUUCUGUAUGGGGUCCCCAAGCCAGGCUAAACCCAGAGAUGAGAGGCACCCUUCCCUUCUUCCCUCCACCCCAAAGAACUACAGGCUCCAGAAAGUAUGCAGCAUUUAUUACAAAGCCAAGAGAUACAGAUGUCCCAGGGCAAAGGAGGGUACAGUCACAGGACCUCAGACACAGGACAAGGUGCAAACACAGACAAGCCCAUCAGGGGGCUCCCAACCCCACACACCUACGCUAUGAUGGAAUCUCGAGUCUCGACUCCCGACUCCUCUCAGAUCUAUGCACACUUGAGGAAAUCUCGGUGGGCAGCGACCUGCCAGGGUCUGUCCCUAAGGAGGUGGUCCGCUGACCUCUCAAGGGGUGGGGGUGGGGUCAGAGCUUACAGGUUUCUGUCUUCUUGUGCUUUUAGAUGCAGUUGCUCUGUCCUGACCAGGUGACCGGGCCUCAGCUGGGGGUGGAGGGGCAAUUGGAAGGCUGUUUGCCUCUGGCAAAGUCUGGGAUCUGUGCUUGUGUGAGGUUAACCCACCCCCACUUCCACUCUAGGCCCCAGGUGAGACUCCACCACCAGUCCUGCUAGUGAGGGUUCCCCGGUGAGGGUAAGGUUGGUGGGGGUGCAGCGCUUCACAAUGCUAAAGCCUUAGCCCUCCUCCAAGAGCUGAGACCUCUCAGGGCCUGAAUCUUCUUUUCCACAAGAUAAAUGAUGCAAAGGCCACACACACAGGAAAAAAAAAAAAAGAGGCAGAACUAUCUAUUCUUUGCACAAAGUUUCCACUGCAAGAGGAGGAGGUGAUGCAGGUGCCACCUCCACCCUGCACUUGCUCCUCAGAACCAGGGAUAAACUGCAUUUGUAAAAGGCACUGUUCUUAGCAAUUUCUGGACAUUCAACAACGUGGGGGGCGGCCACUGGUCAGAGGCAGGACAGCAGCCAAGAUGGGGAGAGAAACGGGGAGAGAAAGAAACGAUUCUAACUGACUCCUAUAUGCAGCCAGUUGGAAUCAUGCCUAAAGCUUUGGGUCUGAAGGGGCCCCCAACACACCACCUGCCUUGGGAAACAGCGAGGAUGGUGCAGAGCUUUAUUGAGACUCCAGUGGCCCAUCCAGUUCAUCUCCAGGCACCCCCAAAAACAGCAAAUUACACAAGACCCCCCCCAAAAAAAAUGAACACCAUUUUCCACACAUACACACACACAUAAAGUUUGUUUCCUGUGGCAUUUAAAUUAAUCUGGUUGGUCCAUAGAAA